Molecule: unclassified non-coding RNA, 263 nt
Filed under: plant metagenome
Description: partial contains small subunit ribosomal RNA, internal transcribed spacer 1, and 5.8S ribosomal RNA
Source: RNAcentral
UUUCCGUAGGUGAACCUGCGGAAGGAUCAUUAUUGUAUAACCGAGAUUCGAGGGCUGUCGCUGACCCGAAAGGUCGUGCACGCCCGAGUGCCCUCACACACAUCCAUCUCACCCCUAUGUGCACCACCGCGUGGGUCCCCCUUUGGCUUGUUCGGAGGGGGGCUUACGUUUUCACACAAACUUUGUAUGCAGUGUAGAAUGUAUUUUUUGUUUUUGCGAUCACGCAAUCAAUACAACUUUCAACAACGGAUCUCUUGGCUCUC